Dermacentor andersoni is the source of this 659-nucleotide long non-coding RNA. RefSeq lists it as uncharacterized. The record is from RefSeq and is a predicted model, not a curated record. NCBI's taxonomy places the organism in Eukaryota, Metazoa, Arthropoda, Arachnida, Ixodida, Ixodidae.
UCGUAGUUCGCCGGCAGUAGGCGACGAGCCGCCGGCUUGGGAGCGCGUCUUUCUGUGACCGUGGCUCGUCGUGCCUGCAGUGAGCUAUACCUCGGCGUGUGACGAGUGCGCGCGAUUUUGCGGGCACUGCGUGGUUGUGCCAUACUGCCUCGCGAAACGCGAGAGCCGUGCCCUUUUAUAAGUGUCGUGUGCGAAGGUGCCGAGCAAGCUACCUCCAACGAGCCGCCGCUACCGGCGUUCUGCUUGCCGAAGGAAGAGAGCCGCCGUCACAGGAUGGUCACGGGCAACGCCGUAGAACUGAUACGGUGUGAUGAGCUCUACGGCGAUCAGAGAGUAAUCGAGAUGCAGCUGGCGUACGCUUACGGGAUCUUCCUGUCACUGACACCCCGUUACUGCUGAGGUAGACUGGACCGAGUACAGUGGGUGUAAUCCAACCAUGGAUCCAGAAUCGAAGCGAAGUAAUUGCACUGUAUUUUUUCAGUGGUCCACUUAUGGAGGCGUAAACUGUCCUUUCAGCAUCAAGACGUUAACUUGGCUUCCAGCCUGCUACAAAGGGCUAGAGCAGCAGCCGUUUAUGCUCGAGCUAAAUAAUCUGACUAUAGAGUCUGUAAUUUUGAGAUGGGGCAACCCAAGUAUUAAGAAAGAAAAGAAGCUAUUGA